GACGAACGCUGGCGGUAUGCUUAACACAUGCAAGUCGAACGAGACGAGAUGGAAGGAUCCUUCGGGUGACGGAAAUCUUAGAAAGUGGCGAACGGGUGAGUAACGCGUGGGUAACCUGCCCUAUGGAAAGGAAUAGCCUCGGGAAACUGGGAGUAAUGCCUUAUAAGAUACAUUUGUCGCAUGGCAGAAGUAUUAAACGCUCCGGUGCCAUAGGAUGGACCCGCGUCCCAUUAGCUAGUUGGUGAGAUAACAGCCCACCAAGGCGACGAUGGGUAACCGGUCUGAGAGGGCGAACGGUCACACUGGAACUGAGACACGGUCCAGACUCCUACGGGAGGCAGCAGUGGGGAAUAUUGCGCAAUGGGGGAAACCCUGACGCAGCAAUACCGCGUGAGUGAAGAAGGUUUUCGGAUCGUAAAGCUCUGUUAUUGGGGAAGAAAAAAGACGGUACCCAAGAAGAAAGUCCCGGCUAACUACGUG
RNAcentral lists this ribosomal RNA (480 nucleotides) under uncultured bacterium. Its description in RNAcentral is "bacterial SSU rRNA". It matches the Rfam family "Bacterial small subunit ribosomal RNA", at positions 28 to 507 of the family's 1533-position model. The record is from RNAcentral.